This 256-nucleotide long non-coding RNA is filed under the name Brachypodium distachyon (stiff brome). RNAcentral's name for it is "long non-coding RNA (BDIS_LNC000120)". Lineage: Eukaryota; Viridiplantae; Streptophyta; Magnoliopsida; Poales; Poaceae. The record is from RNAcentral.
CAGGAGGAAGGUGAGCACGGCAAGGCGGAGGUCGGGGUUCUGGAUGUGAUGCACGUCUCGCCGGGUGACUGGCGCGGCCCGCCAACGGUUGCGUGGUCUGCACUCUGCAGUAGGCGAGGAGGGCAGCUAGACAUGAGGACCAAAAUGAAGAAAAAAAACACAGCAGCAAGCUAGGACGAAAAGGAAAAAACGUUUUGACGGACGACGACGAAGGAAGCACUCCUCCCUUUAUUUAUUAAAUAUAUAUAUAAGGCGU